RNAcentral lists this ribosomal RNA (1370 nucleotides) under uncultured bacterium. RNAcentral describes it as "bacterial SSU rRNA". It matches the Rfam family "Bacterial small subunit ribosomal RNA". The record is from RNAcentral.
AGAGUUUGAUCCUGGCUCAGGACGAACGCUGGCGGCGCGCCUAACACAUGCAAGUCGAACGAGCGAGAGAGAGCUUGCUUUCUCAAGCGAGUGGCGAACGGGUGAGUAACGCGUGAGGAACCUGCCUCAAAGAGGGGGACAACAGUUGGAAACGACUGCUAAUACCGCAUAAGCCCACGGUGCCGCAUGGCACAGAGGGAAAAGGAGCAAUCCGCUUUGAGAUGGCCUCGCGUCCGAUUAGCUAGUUGGUGAGGUAAUGGCCCACCAAGGCGACGAUCGGUAGCCGGACUGAGAGGUUGAACGGCCACAUUGGGACUGAGACACGGCCCAGACUCCUACGGGAGGCAGCAGUGGGGAAUAUUGCACAAUGGGGGAAACCCUGAUGCAGCGACGCCGCGUGGAGGAAGAAGGUCUUCGGAUUGUAAACUCCUGUUGUUGAGGAAGAUAAUGACGGUACUCAACAAGGAAGUGACGGCUAACUACGUGCCAGCAGCCGCGGUAAAACGUAGGUCACAAGCGUUGUCCGGAAUUACUGGGUGUAAAGGGAGCGCAGGCGGGAAGACAAGUUGGAAGUGAAAUCUAUGGGCUCAACCCAUAAACUGCUUUCAAAACUGUUUUUCUUGAGUAGUGCAGAGGUAGGCGGAAUUCCCGGUGUAGCGGUGGAAUGCGUAGAUAUCGGGAGGAACACCAGUGGCGAAGGCGGCCUACUGGGCACCAACUGACGCUGAGGCUCGAAAGUGUGGGUAGCAAACAGGAUUAGAUACCCUGGUAGUCCACACCGUAAACGAUGAUUACUAGGUGUUGGAGGAUUGACCCCCUCAGUGCCGCAGUUAACACAAUAAGUAAUCCACCUGGGGAGUACGACCGCAAGGUUGAAACUCAAAGGAAUUGACGGGAGCCCGCACAAGCAGUGGAGUAUGUGGUUUAAUUCGACGCAACGCGAAGAACCUUACCAAGUCUUGACAUCCUGCGACGGACAUAGAAAUAUGUCUUUCCUUCGGGACGCAGAGACAGGUGGUGCAUGGUUGUCGUCAGCUCGUGUCGUGAGAUGUUGGGUUAAGUCCCGCAACGAGCGCAACCCUUAUGGUCAGUUACUACGCAAGAGGACUCUGGCCAGACUGCCGUUGACAAAACGGAGGAAGGUGGGGAUGACGUCAAAUCAUCAUGCCCUUUAUGACUUGGGCUACACACGUACUACAAUGGCGUUAAACAAAGAGAAGCAAGACCGCGAGGUGGAGCAAAACUCAGAAACAACGUCCCAGUUCGGACUGCAGGCUGCAACUCGCCUGCACGAAGUCGGAAUUGCUAGUAAUCGCAGAUCAGCAUGCUGCGGUGAAUACGUUCNCCGGGCCUUGUACACACCGCCCGUC